RNAcentral lists this small RNA (49 nucleotides) under Sinorhizobium meliloti 2011. RNAcentral's name for it is "putative ncRNA". Lineage: Bacteria; Pseudomonadati; Pseudomonadota; Alphaproteobacteria; Hyphomicrobiales; Rhizobiaceae. The record is from RNAcentral.
GGACGUAUCCACUCCUUUGAUCGCGCGCGUCGCGGUGACCGCGGACGCA